GAGACUCUGUGCGCGUGCAUAUCAAUAAGCGGAGGAAAAGAAACUAACAAGGAUUCCCUUAGUAACGGCGAGUGAAGCGGGAAGAGCUCAAAUUCGAAAUCUUCAAGGUUCUACCUUGACGAAUUGUAGUUUAUAGAAGUGUUUUCUGUUAGUAGGAGUGGCAAAAGUUCUUUGGAAUAGGACAUCAUAGAGGGUGAGAAUCCCGUAUUUGGUCAUUCCUUCCUAGCGUUGUGAUACACUUUCAACGAGUCGGAUUGUUUGGGAAUGCAGUCCAAAAUGGGUGGUAAAUUUCAUCUAAAGCUAAAUAUUGGCGAGAGACCGAUAGCGAACAAGUACCGUGAGGGAAAGAUGAAAAGAACUUUGAAAAGAGAGUUAAACAGUACGUGAAAUCGUCAAAAGGGAAGCGUUUGACACCAGUGUUGUUUUUCCGAAAAUCAAUUACGAAUGUUUUGUUUUUGAGGAGUUAUGACUUCAUCGGCUUGCUUCUCUCUUUAUGAAACUUUCUUAAUGCACUUUUCGGUUAACAAGUCAACAUCAAUUUCUUUUGUUGUAAAAGGGUAUGAGGAAGGUGGCUUUCUUUUCGGAGAAAGUGUUUAUAGCCUUGUAGCCUCUACAAUCGGAGAGAUUGAGGUCUGCAGCGUAGAUCCUUCGGGGUUAGAUACAGUUUGUGCUAAGUUAUAGCUUUUCAUAGACAACUUGUUGACUAUGUUAGUCUUGUAGCUUACUCGCUGAUGCUAUUUUACCUACGCUUAGGAUGUUGACAGCAGUAUAGACUGU
Molecule: ribosomal RNA, 777 nt
Filed under: uncultured Neocallimastigales
Lineage: Eukaryota; Fungi; Neocallimastigomycota; Neocallimastigomycetes; Neocallimastigales
Description: partial large subunit ribosomal RNA
Rfam family: Eukaryotic large subunit ribosomal RNA
Source: RNAcentral